UACAGAGGUCCCAAGCGUUGUUCGGAUUCAUUGGGCGUAAAGGGUGCGUAGGUGGCGCCGUAAGUCGGGUGUGAAAUUUCGGAGCUUAACUCCGAAACUGCAUUCGAUACUGCGGUGCUUGAGGACUGGAGAGGAGACUGGAAUUCAUGGUGUAGCAGUGAAAUGCGUAGAGAUCAUGAGGAACACCAGUGGCGAAGGCGGCUACCUGGCCCAUUCUUGACGCUGAGGCGCGAAAGCUAGGGGAGCAAACGGG
Molecule: ribosomal RNA, 253 nt
Filed under: uncultured bacterium
Lineage: Bacteria
Description: partial 16S ribosomal RNA
Rfam family: Bacterial small subunit ribosomal RNA
Source: RNAcentral